CUUGUGUUCCUCUUAUAACUGUUAGAAACGACCACCCCUACCCCCAAAACCCUUUUCAGAUCAUCGCCCUUUCCCUUCUCUCACCAUCUGCCACAAGCCAUCGCCGGAAUUCGUCCACUACGACGGCCAACCUCUAACUACCCACAAAUUAAUACCAGAUAUUCAUUGUUUUCUCCUCACGACCAUCCCACAUUUAGCUUCUUCUAAAACCUCAAUGAAAUUCUCGAUAGAUCUAAGAACUGAACCCUAGCUACCACUCGGUCUUUUUUAAUUUCCUCGAUCGAUCUGUCAGCUUUUACGGUUGAGACUUACAUCAUUAGAAAGCUGUUGAUGAGAGCUAUCCAC
Molecule: long non-coding RNA, 345 nt
Filed under: Nicotiana benthamiana
Lineage: Eukaryota; Viridiplantae; Streptophyta; Magnoliopsida; Solanales; Solanaceae
Description: long non-coding RNA (NBEN_LNC018252)
Source: RNAcentral